This 88-nucleotide ribosomal RNA is filed under the name Stereophaedusa azumai. Its description in RNAcentral is "Luchuphaedusa azumai partial 5.8S rRNA". The stretch from base 37 to 88 matches the Rfam family "5.8S ribosomal RNA", at positions 1 to 52 of the family's 154-position model. Rfam says of the family: 5.8S ribosomal RNA (5.8S rRNA) is a component of the large subunit of the eukaryotic ribosome. It is transcribed by RNA polymerase I as part of the 45S precursor that also contains 18S and 28S rRNA. The record is from RNAcentral. Lineage: Eukaryota; Metazoa; Mollusca; Gastropoda; Stylommatophora; Clausiliidae.
AAAAAAAAAGAAACCAGAAAAGAAAAAACAAAAUACAACUUUGAGCGGUGGAUCACUCGGCUCGUGCGUCGAUGAAGAGCGCAGCCAG